GUUGAUCCUGCGGGAGGUUGCUGCUAUUGGGAUUCGACUAAGCCAUGCAAGUCUGGGGAGCUUCGGCUCACCGGCAAAAUGCUCAGUAACACGUCGAUAAUCUGCCUUCAGGCCUGGAAUAACCUUGGGAAACUGAGGCUAAGACCGGAUAAGGAAAUUGUUCUGGAAACGAUUUUUUCCUAAAAGGUAACACCUGAAGAUGAGUCGGCGGCGGAUUAGGCUGUUGGUGGGGUAAUGGCCCACCAAACCAAAGAUCCGUACGGGCCGUGAGAGCGGUAGCCCGGAGAAGGUCACUGAGAUACUGGACCUAGCCCUACGGGGUGCAGCAGGCGCGAAACCUUUACAAUGCACGCAAGUGUGAUAAGGGGAUCCCAAGUGCUGAUGUUUCACAUCGGCUUUUGCCAAGAGUAAAAACCUUGGCGAAUAAGUGGUGGGCAAGACUGGUGCCAGCCGCCGCGGUAACACCAGCGUCCACAAGUGGCAGCCACAAUUAUUGGGCCUAAAGCGUCCGUAGCCGGAUUGGCAAAUCUUUUGUGAAAUUGUUGGGCUCAACCUAACAACGUGCAGGAGACACUACCAAUCUAGGGACCGGGAGGAGUCAAGAGUAUUGCGGGGGGAGCGGUAAAAUGUUAUAAUCCUUGCAAGACUACCUAUGGCGAAGGCACUUGACCAGAACGGAUCCGACGGUGAGGGACGAAAGCCAGGGGAGCAAAACGGAUUAGAUACCCGAGUAGUCCUGGCUGUAAACGCUGCGAGCUAGGUGUUGCACAUUCUUCGGGAAUGUGCAGUAUCGGAGUAAAGAUGUUAAGCUCGCCGCCUGGGAAGUACGGUCGCAAGACUGAAACUUAAAGGAAUUGGCGGGGGAGCACCACAAGGGGUGCGGCGUGCGGUUUAAUCUAAUUCAACACAGAGAAUCUCACCAGGAGCGGCGGCAGGAUGAAAGUCAGCCUAAAGGGCUUACUUGACAAGCCGAGAGGUAGUGCAUGGCCGUCGUCAGCUCGUGCUGUAAGGUGUCCUCUUAAGUGAGGCAACGAGCGAGACCUGUAUCUACAAUUGCCAUCGAGUCCUUCGGGAUGAUCGGGCACAUUGUAGGGACUGCCGUGGAAACACGGAGGAAGGUGCAGGCUACGAUAGGUCUGUAUGCUCCGAAUCUUCUGGGCUACACGCGCGCAACAAUGGUAGGGACAACGGGAUACAACUCCGAAAGGAGAAGUUAAUCCUCUAAACCCUAUCCAAGUCCAGAUUGGGGGUUGUAACUCACCCUCAUGACGAUGGAAUCCCUAGUAAUUGGAAGUUAUCAGCUUUCAGUGAAUAAGUCCCUGCUCCUUGCACACACCGCCCGUCAAACCACUCGAGCCGAGUCUGGAUGAGUCUCGAUUUAAUUGGUCAAGUCGAAUCUAGGCUUAGUAAGAUGGGUUAAGUCGUCACAAGGUA
This 1434-nucleotide ribosomal RNA is filed under the name metagenome. RNAcentral's name for it is "bacterial SSU rRNA". It matches the Rfam family "Archaeal small subunit ribosomal RNA". The record is from RNAcentral.